This 253-nucleotide ribosomal RNA is filed under the name uncultured bacterium. RNAcentral describes it as "partial 16S ribosomal RNA". It matches the Rfam family "Bacterial small subunit ribosomal RNA", at positions 524 to 776 of the family's 1533-position model. The record is from RNAcentral.
UACGUAGGGGGCAAGCGUUGUCCGGAAUUAUUGGGCGUAAAGAGCUCGUAGGCGGUCUGUUGCGUCGGCUGUGAAAACCCGAGGCUCAACCUCGGGCCUGCAGCCGAUACGGGCAGACUAGAGUUCGGCAGGGGAGACUGGAAUUCCUGGUGUAGCGGUGAAAUGCGCAGAUAUCGGGAGGAACACCAGUAGCGAAGGCGGCUCGCUGGGCCAUUCCUGACGCUGAGACGCGAAAGCUAGGGGAGCGAACAGG